Molecule: ribosomal RNA, 472 nt
Filed under: uncultured bacterium
Lineage: Bacteria
Description: bacterial SSU rRNA
Rfam family: Bacterial small subunit ribosomal RNA
Source: RNAcentral
UGGGGAAUUUUGGACAAUGGGGGCAACCCUGAUCCAGCAAUGCCGCGUGAGUGAAGAAGGCCUUCGGGUUGUAAAGCUCUUUUGUCAGGGAAGAAACGGUAGUAGCGAAUAACUAUUACUAAUGACGGUACCUGAAGAAUAAGCACCGGCUAACUACGUGCCAGCAGCCGCGGUAAUAUGUAGGGUGCAAGCGUUAAUCGGAAUUACUGGGCGUAAAGCGUGCGCAGGCGGUUGUGUAAGUCAGAUGUGAAAUCCCCGGGCUCAACCUGGGAAUUGCAUUUGAGACUGCACGGCUAGAGUGUGUCAGAGGGGGGUAGAAUUCCACGUGUAGCAGUGAAAUGCGUAGAUAUGUGGAGGAACACCGAUGGCGAAGGCAGCCCCCUGGGUUAACACUGACGCUCAUGCACGAAAGCGUGGGGAGCAAACAGGAUUAGAUACCCCAGUAGUCCCUGAGCGGGCUGGCAAGGCGCAU